This 213-nucleotide unclassified non-coding RNA is filed under the name uncultured Cystolepiota. RNAcentral describes it as "sequence contains ITS2". Lineage: Eukaryota; Fungi; Basidiomycota; Agaricomycetes; Agaricales; Agaricaceae. The record is from RNAcentral.
AAUUCUCAACCCCUUCAGCUUUAGUGGCUGACUAGGUGGCUUGGAUUGUUGGGGGUCUUGCCGGCUGUCUUUGCAGUCAGCUCCCCUGAAAUGCAUUAGCGGAACCGUUUGCGAUCCGUCACCGGUGUGAUAAUUAUCUACGCCAACGACAAUGGAUGCUUUCUGUCUGUUCAGCUUCUAACUGUCUUCUCUGUGGGACAAACUCAUUUGAAA